GCACAGCGAUAAGAGCCAUUAGGUGAAAAGAAAAGACAGAGCAGGCCUGGAGGGGCUGAUUUGUUGUCCUACGUGAAAACCACGUGAGACAGGAGUGCUGCGUGCUGCCAGGUGUACAGUCAGCAGAACCAACGGUGGACAACAGCAGUGUCCAUUUAGGACAGAGUGAACAGAUGGGAGAGGUGGACAGAUGGACCAGAGGGAGGACGGACAGACAUAAAGACUGUAGAUGUCGUCCAGCCAGGCCAAGUCGUGUUGGGAGAACAUCAGGUCCAGCAGCUUCCGGACGACCAUCAGACCCAGGAUCUACAUGCGGAGGAAAGACUGAAGAUCACACAGGUCCACUUCAGAGUCCCGGUGUUCCAGUCCACUGCAAAACUAUUACACACUCACCAUCACUGGGAAGAUGAUGGCGAGGAAGGUGGACUUCAGGAUCCAGAGGACAGCCAAACAGACCAUCUGGACGAGGGUGAAGAGAUGGACGCGUCUCAGAGGGACGUGACGCAGGAAGGAGAAGUCUGGCUGGUGUUUGGCGGGCAUCAGAUACAACUUGAUCCGCUCCCAGAACUGGACAGAACCAUAGAGAACAGCUCCUCAGACUCACGCAGGCGGCCAAGGCUGCUUGACUGCCGAGAGCGUAGGUCUUCUGUGGAGCGGUGGAUCCCAGAAGCUGAACUAGUGCUACGAUUCAGAUUAACCUGAGGACUACGAUCUGACAGAGCAGCAGCAGCAGCAGCAGCAGAUGUGAGAAGCACAGAAGACGUGAUUGUAUGAGGAAAGGCGAAACAGCUGGUCAUCAACAAGGAAGCAUUAGGAUGUAAUCAGAAGGUGGGAUUACUUUGGUGCUGAUUGGUGGUUGAAGACGGGUGUUAGCGGUGUACAAACUUACUGGAAGCAGCGUUGGAGGACUUUCCGAUGUCCGCCAGCGAGCGGUGGAUUGGUUUCUUGGUCUGGUGGCGAUGCUUCCUGAGCAGCACGAAGCUGAUCUUCUCCUUCAGAUCCGGAGGAAUGAGACCAUCAGCUAUCUGCCGAUCCACAAUGUCAUCUGGAGUAAAAGUUUACAGCUGAAUUUACAUGCAUGGACUCAACCGUUCAGCACAAGGCGAGUAACAAUAUUUUACCAGGUUUACAGCGACUGUCCAACUGUCAGGCACUCAAAACAAUAAACAACAACAAACGCUGGAUUUCGUCCCGAAUCUUUGUUUGCUGCAAAAUUCAAGUGGAUUUUCAUGGAGUAUGAAAGGUGGGAAUGCAGUGGUAGCACUCUGAGCUGUAUGGUUGGUGCGCUCGGCAGGACCGGUGGAGAAACUCUGCUGGACUCACCCACGAUCUGCGGCAGCGAGUAGCCCUCCAGGUC
Scatophagus argus is the source of this 1357-nucleotide long non-coding RNA. RefSeq lists it as uncharacterized. The transcript is spliced from 6 exons. The record is from RefSeq and is a predicted model, not a curated record. NCBI's taxonomy places the organism in Eukaryota, Metazoa, Chordata, Actinopteri, Scatophagidae.